AGAGUUUGAUCCUGGCUCAGGACGAACGCUGGCGGCGUGCCUAACACAUGCAAGUCGAGCGGAGACAGUGAGUAGCUUGCUACGAACUGUUUUAGCGGCGGACGGGUGAGUAACGCGUGAGCAACCUUUCCCAGACAGGGGAAUAACACACCGAAAGGUGUACUAAUACCUCAUAAGACCACGGGAUCACAUGGUUCUGAGGUAAAAGAAUUAUCGGUUUGGGGUGGGCUCGCGUCCGAUUAGGUAGUUGGUGAGGUAACGGCCCACCAAGCCGACGAUCGGUAGCCGACCUGGGAGGGUGAUCGGCCACAUUGGGACUGAGACACGGCCCAAACUCCUACGGGAGGCAGCAGUGGGAAUAUUGGGCAAUGGAGGAAACUCUGACCCAGCAACGCCGCGUGGAGGAAGAAGGUUUUCGGAUCGUAAACUCCUGUCCUUGGAGACGAGUAGAAGACGGUAUCCAAGGAGGAAGCCCCGGCUAACUACGUGCCAGCAGCCGCGGUAAUACGUAGGGGGCAAGCGUUGUCCGGAAUAAUUGGGCGUAAAGGGCGCGUAGGCGGCUCGGUAAGUCUGGAGUGAAAGUCCUGCUUUUAAGGUGGGAAUUGCUUUGGAUACUGUCGGGCUUGAGUGCAGGAGAGGUUAGUGGAAUUCCCAGUGUAGCGGUGAAAUGCGUAGAGAUUGGGAGGAACACCAGUGGCGAAGGCGACUAACUGGACUGUAACUGACGCUGAGGCGCGAAAGUGUGGGGAGCAAACAGGAUUAGAUACCCUGGUAGUCCACACUGUAAACGAUGAAUGCUAGGUGUAGGGGGUAUCGACCCCUUCUGUGCCGCAGUCAACACAAUAAGCAUUCCGCCUGGGGAGUACGGCCGCAAGGUUGAAACUCAAAGGAAUUGACGGGGGCCCGCACAAGCAGCGGAGCAUGUGGUUUAAUUCGACGCAACGCGAAGAACCUUACCAGGUCUUGACAUCCACUUAAACUUACAGAGAUGUAAGGUGUGCUUGCACAAAGUGAGACAGGUGGUGCAUGGUUGUCGUCAGCUCGUGUCGUGAGAUGUUGGGUUAAGUCCCGCAACGAGCGCAACCCUUAUCUUCAGUUACUAACGCGUAAAGGUGAGGACUCUGAAGAGACUGCCGGGGACAACUCGGAGGAAGGUGGGGACGACGUCAAAUCAUCAUGCCCCUUAUGACCUGGGCUACACACGUGCUACAAUGGCCACGACAGAGAGAAGCGAAAUCGCAAGGUAGAGCGGAACUCAAAAAAGUGGUCCCAGUUCGGAUUGUGGGCUGCAACCCGCCCACAUGAAGUCGGAGUUGCUAGUAAUCGCGGAUCAGCAUGCCGCGGUGAAUACGUUCCCGGGCCUUGUACACACCGCCCGUCACACCAUGGGAGUUGGGAGUGCCCAAAGCCGAUGAGGCAACCGCAAGGAGCCAGCCGUCUAAGGCAAGACCAAUGACUGGGGUGAAGUCGCAACAAGGUA
RNAcentral lists this ribosomal RNA (1480 nucleotides) under metagenome. Its description in RNAcentral is "bacterial SSU rRNA". It matches the Rfam family "Bacterial small subunit ribosomal RNA". The record is from RNAcentral.